GACGAACGCUGGCGGCGUGCUUAACACAUGCAAGUCGAACGAAGAGCGACGGAAGCUUGCUUCUAUCAAUCUUAGUGGCGAACGGGUGAGUAACGCGUAAUCAACCUGCCCUUCAGAGGGGGACAACAGUUGGAAACGACUGCUAAUACCGCAUACGAUCUAACCUCGGCAUCGAGGAUAGAUGAAAGGUGGCCUCUACAUGUAAGCUAGCACUGAAGGAGGGGAUUGCGUCUGAUUAGCUAGUUGGAGGGGUAACGGCCCACCAAGGCGAUGAUCAGUAGCCGGUCUGAGAGGAUGAACGGCCACAUUGGGACUGAGACACGGCCCAGACUCCUACGGGAGGCAGCAGUGGGGAAUCUUCCGCAAUGGACGAAAGUCUGACGGAGCAACGCCGCGUGAGUGAUGACGGCCUUCGGGUUGUAAAGCUCUGUUAAUCGGGACGAAAGGCCUUCUUGCGAAUAGUGAGAAGGAUUGACGGUACCGGAAUAGAAAGCCACGGCUAACUACGUG
Molecule: ribosomal RNA, 510 nt
Filed under: uncultured bacterium
Lineage: Bacteria
Description: partial 16S ribosomal RNA
Rfam family: Bacterial small subunit ribosomal RNA
Source: RNAcentral